Non-coding RNA from Potamilus streckersoni, 72 nucleotides. The record is from the annotation of a GenBank genome assembly. Lineage: Eukaryota; Metazoa; Mollusca; Bivalvia; Unionida; Unionidae.
GCUCCGGUAGCCUAGUGGUUAGAGCGUCCGCCUCGGAUGCGGUAGGUCGUUGGUUUGAAACCCGGCUGAGUC